UNUGACUUGAGUGCAGAAGGGGAGAGUGGAAUUCCAUGUGUAGCGGUGAAAUGCGUAGAUAUAUGGAGGANCACCAGUGGCGAAAGCGGCUCUCUGNUCUGUCACUGACGCUGAGGCUCGAAAGCGUGGGUAGCGAACAGGAUUAGAUACCCUGGUAGUNCACGCCGUAAACGAUGAGUGCUAGGUGUUAGGCCCUUUCCGGGGCUUAGUGCCGGAGCUAACGCAAUAAGCACUCCGCCUGGGGAGUACGACCGCAAGGUUGAAACUCAAAGGAAUUGACGGGGGCCCGCACAAGCGGUGGAGCAUGUGGUUUAAUUCGAAGCAACGCGAAGAACCUUACCAGGUCUUGACAUCCCGAUGCUAUUCUUAGAGAUAGGAAGUUACUUCGGUACAUCGGAGACAGGUGGUGCAUGGUUGUCGUCAGCUCGUGUCGUGAGAUGUUGGGUUAAGUCCCGCAACGAGCGCAACCCUUAUUGUUAGUUGCCAUCAUUAAGUUGGGCACUCUAGCGAGACUGCCGGUAAUAAACCGGAGGAAGGUGGGGAUGACGUCAAAUCAUCAUGCCCCUUAUGACCUGGGCUACACACGUGCUACAAUGGUCGGUACAACGAGUUGCGAGCCGGUGACGGCAAGCUAAUCUCUGAAAGCCGAUCUCAGUUCGGAUUGGAGGCUGCAACUCGCCUCCAUGAAGUCGGAAUCGCUAGUAAUCGCGGAUCAGCACGCCGCGGUGAAUACGUUCCCGGGCCUUGUACACACCGCCCGUCACACCACGAGAGUUUGUAACACCCGAAGUCGGUGAGGUAACCUUUUAGGGGCCA
RNAcentral lists this ribosomal RNA (816 nucleotides) under uncultured bacterium. RNAcentral's name for it is "bacterial SSU rRNA". It matches the Rfam family "Bacterial small subunit ribosomal RNA", at positions 636 to 1451 of the family's 1533-position model. The record is from RNAcentral.